RNAcentral lists this ribosomal RNA (460 nucleotides) under uncultured bacterium. RNAcentral describes it as "partial 16S ribosomal RNA". It matches the Rfam family "Bacterial small subunit ribosomal RNA", at positions 338 to 795 of the family's 1533-position model. The record is from RNAcentral.
CCUACGGGAGGCAGCAGUGAGGAAUAUUGGUCAAUGGGCUUACGCCUGAACCAGCCAAGUCGCGUGAGGGAAGACUGCCCUAUGGGUUGUAAACCUCUUUUGUCAGGGAGCAAUGGGCGCUACGUGUAGCGUUAUCGAGAGUACCUGAAGAAAAAGCAUCGGCUAACUCCGUGCCAGCAGACGCGGUAAUACGGAGGAUGCGAGCGUUAUCCGGAUUUAUUGGGUUUAAAGGGUGCGUAGGCGGAAUGCCAAGUCGGCGGUAAAAUCGCGGGGCUCAACCUCGCUCCGCCGUUGAAACUGGCGGUCUUGAGUGUGCGAGAGGUAUGCGGAAUGCGUGGUGUAGCGGUGAAAUGCAUAGAUAUCACGCAGAACUCCGAUUGCGAAGGCAGCAUACCGGCGCCCAACUGACGCUGAAGCACGAAAGCGUGGGUAUCGAACAGGAUUAGAUACCCUUGUAGUC